AACCUGACGCAGUUCCAACUGUGCAUGCAAUCUCACAAGCAGUUAAAGCACCACUAUCUCAAACUCGAACUGCAUAUGAAAAGAGAGAAAGACAUAGGACAUUAGAAGAUAUUAUUAAGGAGCCAUAUUCCCAAUGCACUGAAAACAUUGAAGUACAAACAACUGAGAGUUCAUCAAUCUCAUCUCCGCCAUCAAUCAAUAACAAUAACAUAGAAAAUCUUCUCAAAGAAUUGAAAGAUGAUCAGUCAUUGGC
This is a long non-coding RNA of Exaiptasia diaphana, 253 nucleotides long. RefSeq lists it as uncharacterized. The record is from RefSeq and is a predicted model, not a curated record. The transcript is spliced from 3 exons. NCBI's taxonomy places the organism in Eukaryota, Metazoa, Cnidaria, Anthozoa, Actiniaria, Aiptasiidae.